Molecule: ribosomal RNA, 274 nt
Filed under: uncultured bacterium
Lineage: Bacteria
Description: partial 16S ribosomal RNA
Rfam family: Bacterial small subunit ribosomal RNA
Source: RNAcentral
AGACAGAGGGUGCAAACGUUGUUCGGAAUUACUGGGCGUAAAGCGCGUGUCGGCUGUUCUGCAAGUCGGGUGUGAAAGCCCAGGGCUCAACCCUGGAAGUGCACUCGAAACUGCAAGACUUGAAUCUCGGAGAGGGUGGCGGAAUUCUGGGUGUAGAAGUGAAAUUCGUAGAUAUCCAGAGGAACACCGGCGGCGAAGGCGGCCACCUGGACGAGUAUUGACGCUGAGACGCGAAAGCGUGGGGAGCAAACAGGAUUAGAAACCCUAGUAGUCC